This 1522-nucleotide ribosomal RNA is filed under the name Shigella dysenteriae. RNAcentral describes it as "bacterial SSU rRNA". It matches the Rfam family "Bacterial small subunit ribosomal RNA". Lineage: Bacteria; Pseudomonadati; Pseudomonadota; Gammaproteobacteria; Enterobacterales; Enterobacteriaceae. The record is from RNAcentral.
AGAGUUUGAUCAUGGCUCAGAUUGAACGCUGGCGGCAGGCCUAACACAUGCAAGUCGAACGGUAACAGGAAGCAGCUUGCUGCUUCGCUGACGAGUGGCGGACGGGUGAGUAAUGUCUGGGAAACUGCCUGAUGGAGGGGGAUAACUACUGGAAACGGUAGCUAAUACCGCAUAAUGUCGCAAGACCAAAGAGGGGGACCUUCGGGCCUCUUGCCAUCGGAUGUGCCCAGAUGGGAUUAGCUUGUUGGUGGGGUAACGGCUCACCAAGGCGACGAUCCCUAGCUGGUCUGAGAGGAUGACCAGCCACACUGGAACUGAGACACGGUCCAGACUCCUACGGGAGGCAGCAGUGGGGAAUAUUGCACAAUGGGCGCAAGCCUGAUGCAGCCAUGCCGCGUGUAUGAAGAAGGCCUUCGGGUUGUAAAGUACUUUCAGCGGGGAGGAAGGGAGUAAAGUUAAUACCUUUGCUCAUUGACGUUAUCCGCAGAAGAAGCACCGGCUAACUCCGUGCCAGCAGCCGCGGUAAUACGGAGGGUGCAAGCGUUAAUCGGAAUUACUGGGCGUAAAGCGCACGCAGGCGGUUUGUUAAGUCAGAUGUGAAAUCCCCGGGCUCAACCUGGGAACUGCAUCUGAUACUGGCAAGCUUGAGUCUCGUAGAGGGGGGUAGAAUUCCAGGUGUAGCGGUGAAAUGCGUAGAGAUCUGGAGGAAUACCGGUGGCGAAGGCGGCCCCCUGGACGAAAACUGACGCUCAGGUGCGAAAGCGUGGGGAGCAAACAGGAUUAGAUACCCUGGUAGUCCACGCCGUAAACGAUGUCGACUUGGAGGUUGUGCCCUUGAGGCGUGGCUUCCGGAGCUAACGCGUUAAGUCGACCGCCUGGGGAGUACGGCCGCAAGGUUAAAACUCAAAUGAAUUGACGGGGGCCCGCACAAGCGGUGGAGCAUGUGGUUUAAUUCGAUGCAACGCGAAGAACCUUACCUGGUCUUGACAUCCACGGAAGUUUUCAGAGAUGAGAAUGUGCCUUCGGGAACCGUGAGACAGGUGCUGCAUGGCUGUCGUCAGCUCGUGUUGUGAAAUGUUGGGUUAAGUCCCGCAACGAGCGCAACCCUUAUCCUUUGUUGCCAGCGGUCCGGCCGGGAACUCAAAGGAGACUGCCAGUGAUAAACUGGAGGAAGGUGGGGAUGACGUCAAGUCAUCAUGGCCCUUACGACCAGGGCUACACACGUGCUACAAUGGCGCAUACAAAGAGAAGCGACCUCGCGAGAGCAAGCGGACCUCAUAAAGUGCGUCGUAGUCCGGAUUGGAGUCUGCAACUCGACUCCAUGAAGUCGGAAUCGCUAGUAAUCGUGGAUCAGAAUGCCACGGUGAAUACGUUCCCGGGCCUUGUACACACCGCCCGUCACACCAUGGGAGUGGGUUGCAAAAGAAGUAGGUAGCUUAACCUUUGGGAGGGCGCUUACCACUUUGUGAUUCAUGACUGGGGUGAAGUCGUAACAAGGUAACCGUAGGGGAACCUGCGGUUG